Molecule: long non-coding RNA, 1488 nt
Filed under: Gossypium barbadense (sea-island cotton)
Lineage: Eukaryota; Viridiplantae; Streptophyta; Magnoliopsida; Malvales; Malvaceae
Description: long non-coding RNA (GBAR_LNC019637)
Source: RNAcentral
GGGAAGGGGUACAAAUAUAUCAGUUGUAAAUGAUGUUUGGAUUCCUGAUUUAAGUUUCACCAGAUUAUCAUCUUUAGUUUAUAAUUUGAGUGAUGUUAAAGUUGCUGAGUUAAUUAACACUAAUAGUAGACUGUGGAAAAAAGAGUUGAUUGAGUCUACCUUUCCAGAAGAAGUAGCUGAUAGGAUUCUUCGCAUUCCAUUGGCAGUUGAGCCUCACGAUGAUCUUCUGGCAUGGAGCGGUGAGCCUUCGAGUGAGUAUGCAGUUCGUAGUGCCUAUAAACUAUUACAAAGUUUGGAUGAAGAUCCUAGAGCUUAUGAGUUACAAACCGACUACAAGAGCUUCUAUAAAAAACUAUGGCUACUUAACCUACCUUCAAAAAUAAAAAUAACAGUAUGGAAAGUAACAUGGAACUAUCUUCCUUUACGGGCAAACAUGCAACAAAGAAGAUUGACAAACAUUAUAAUCUGCCCGAGGUGUGGGAGUGGGACAGAGACGAUGAAUCACUUAUUUAGAGAAUGCCCGAUUUCAGUAUCAGUAUGGGGAGAAUUAGCAUGCCAGAUUUUUCUAUCUGAAUAUAAUUUGGAGUUCCCAGAGUGGCUAGUCUGGGUCUUUGAACAGAGUAAUCCAGUCCAGUGUAGGAUUUUCUGCUGCACUUUAUGGGCAAUCUGGGGAGAUAGAAACGCAAGAGUGCAUAAAAAGGUUAGUAAAUCUGGAAAAGAGAUAGUAAACUUUGUCCACAGUUAUAUUCUUGAAUUAAAUGAGAUCGAAACGAGAAGGCCAAAAGUUUUUCCAGUUGUCAGUAAAUGGAAGCACCCACCUGAUCAGUUUGUGAAGAUCAACUUUGAUGCUGCAUAUGAUGUGAGAUCUUCUCAUGCGGCACUCGAAAUUGUGGCCAGGAACAGCGAAGGAAAGGUUCUCUUGGCAUGCUCGGAAAUCCACAAUCAAGUCGCCUCAGCCUUUGUUGCUGAGGCAAUCGCGUGUAGAAGUGCAACUCAACUCGGCAUGGACAUGAAAUGGGGAAACAUUAUCAUUGAAGGGGAUUCAUUAACAAUAAUCAAGAAGUGCAGAACAAAGAGCCAAUAUAAGUCAUUGAUAGGGGCGUAUAUACAUGAUAUUCAACAGAUCUCGCUUAAAACUCAAAAAUACAGUUUUGAAUAUACUCCAAGAACAGCAAAUCGUCUAGCACAUUUCAUUGCAAUCGAAACAAUGAAAAGCAAGAAGGAAGUUUACCUCAUAGGAAGAGUCCCCGAAUAUGCAGAAAAAUUGAAGGAGAGGAUAGUGUGAGAGAACCAGAUUGAAGGAAAUAUAAGGUUGAAGAUGGAAAAUGGAGAGGUUAGAGUGGAUAAUCAAUAGGCUCGGCUAAGAAGCUCUCCUUGGGAAUCUGGAAUAGUCUUUAACAAGUAAUGUCAGAUGAUAAGAAAAGACGAUUUUUCCAAAGCGUUUUCAGAUUAGGAAUAGUGAUAAAUAAUGAAUGCGUUUUACAGAAC